This 461-nucleotide ribosomal RNA is filed under the name uncultured bacterium. Its description in RNAcentral is "bacterial SSU rRNA". It matches the Rfam family "Bacterial small subunit ribosomal RNA", at positions 50 to 524 of the family's 1533-position model. The record is from RNAcentral.
AACACAUGCAAGUCGAACGGUGAAGCCAAGCUUGCUUGGUGGAUCAGUGGCGAACGGGUGAGUAACACGUGAGCAACCUGCCCUGGACUCUGGGAUAAGCGCUGGAAACGGUGUCUAAUACUGGAUAUGAGCCUCUUCCGCAUGGUGGGGGUUGGAAAGAUUUUUCGGUCUGGGAUGGGCUCGCGGCCUAUCAGCUUGUUGGUGAGGUAAUGGCUCACCAAGGCGUCGACGGGUAGCCGGCCUGAGAGGGUGACCGGCCACACUGGGACUGAGACACGGCCCAGACUCCUACGGGAGGCAGCAGUGGGGAAUAUUGCACAAUGGGCGGAAGCCUGAUGCAGCAACGCCGCGUGAGGGAUGACGGCCUUCGGGUUGUAAACCUCUUUUAGCAGGGAAGAAGCGGAAGUGACGGUACCUGCAGAAAAAGCGCCGGCUAACUACGUGCCAGCAGCCGCGGUAAU